Long non-coding RNA from Homo sapiens (human), 584 nucleotides. NCBI's taxonomy places the organism in Eukaryota, Metazoa, Chordata, Mammalia, Primates, Hominidae. The record is from Ensembl.
GGGCUUCCUGCAGAGGAACCUAACCAUUCUGGGAGGUUGUUUACAGAUGAGGCCACUGAGGCAUGGACAGGUCACACAAGGCUGCGGAACACGUAGGACGGAGCAAAAGGACAGGGAACGGAAAAGAAACAGGGCACAGAGAAAUUCAAGUGAAAUACAGGCUGGUUCAGGAGGAGGACUGCGCCACUUCGGGCGGGCCUGCAGCACUGACACGGCUUUUGGGUUCGCAGUGGCGGUGGAGGGCGGUCAAGAGGACCAUCAGCCUCUCCAAGGCGUGACCGUCGGCCUCCCUCUGCACCCAUCCUCACUUGCAGCUCGUCGGCUUCGGGCCGUGGGACGCGGCGGAUCAGAGUCGGAGUGUAUUCAACUGCGGGUUUGAACUUGGAUUUAUUUGGAGUGUGAUAAAACUACUAAAGUGCCUCGGCUCCUGGGAAAUUCAAACUCUGCCGUCAGUGCCUGACCGUCCCUCCCACUUACGUCCGUUUCCUGCCCCUUCUACCCUACCAGCGACCAAGCCAUUUUCUACCCGCGAUGAAGCUCACGGCACGGAGAUGGAGAAACGUGCACCCUGACGCCACUGGAGC